Molecule: ribosomal RNA, 492 nt
Filed under: uncultured bacterium
Lineage: Bacteria
Description: partial 16S ribosomal RNA
Rfam family: Bacterial small subunit ribosomal RNA
Source: RNAcentral
AGUGAACGCUGGCGGUAGGCCUAACACAUGCAAGUCGAACGGCAGCACAGUAAGAGCUUGCUCUUACGGGUGGCGAGUGGCGGACGGGUGAGGAAUACAUCGGAAUCUACUUUUUCGUGGGGGAUAACGUAGGGAAACUUACGCUAAUACCGCAUACGACCUACGGGUGAAAGCAGGGGAUCUUCGGACCUUGCGCGAUUGAAUGAGCCGAUGUCGGAUUAGCUAGUUGGCGGGGUAAAGGCCCACCAAGGCGACGAUCCGUAGCUGGUCUGAGAGGAUGAUCAGCCACACUGGAACUGAGCCACGGUCCAGACUACGACGGGAGGCAGCAGUGGGGAAUAUUGGAAAAUGGGCGCAAGCCUGAUCCAGCCAUACCGCGUCGGUGAAGAAGGCCUUCGGGUUGUAAAGCACUUGUGUUGGGAAAGAAAAGCAGCAGGUUAAUACCCCGCUGUUCUGACGGUACCCAAAGAAUAAUCACCGGCUAACUUCGUG